Molecule: long non-coding RNA, 880 nt
Organism: Mangifera indica (mango)
Lineage: Eukaryota; Viridiplantae; Streptophyta; Magnoliopsida; Sapindales; Anacardiaceae
Exons: 2
Source: RefSeq, a predicted model, not a curated record
GGAAAUAAUCAUAUAUAUUAUACAAUGGGAGGCAAGCCAUGCGAUCCAUCCUCAUCAUUGCUCAUAACUGAUUUCUCUCCACCACUUUUUCAAAUGCUCUCCGUAUAGCACUUGGCCUACAUGUACGCAUAUCUAACUCAGGUAUAAACAUCCAUAUAAGAUCAUGGCUUUCCAUCUGCCUCGUUCGCAGCAAACCAAGAUUUUCAAUAGCCACAGAAGUUCCCAAUGGCCAUUUUGCAGUUUAUUUGGAGAAAACCGAAUAAAGAGAUUUGUAAUUCCAAUAUGGUACCUGAAUCACCCUUCAUUUCAAGAUCUGCUAAGUCAAGCAGAAGAAGAAUUUGGAUUUGAUCGUCCAAUGGGCGGUCUUACAAUUCCAUUCAGAGAAAAAGUCUUUGUUGAUCUAAUGUCUAGUUUGAAAGGGUCCUGAAAGAGCACUGUAGCAUAAUUCUAUAUUUACAAUUUCGUAUAGCAGACAUAACAGGUAUCUUUAUUUUUCUCCUGUGGAGUCGUGGAAAUUUCCCAGCUUCUCUAUGAAUUUGUGAAAGUGGAGCUAGAGCUAGCUAAAUGGCAUGAUCAAAAAAGGAACAGCACAACAGGGUAUGUAUGGUCCUGGAACAACCGAUAGCACAGCAGAGUGUGGUCCUGGAGCAAGGCCUGGAAUGUGCCAGCACCCAACAAGAGAAGAACCUAAAGUUUGUUGAAUCAGGUGGAAGGACAACAAAUCAAUGUUGGAAAGUAAACUUGGAGAACAAGAAUUAGAAAGCUGCUGAUAACCUUCCUCAAUAAUAAGAUGUUUUAUGUAUAUAAAUAGAACUAUUAAUUCAAUGAAAUGUAUGCAAUGAUUUUUGCUAAUAGCUAUAGCAGUGCUCCAAUUUAUACU